RNAcentral lists this ribosomal RNA (416 nucleotides) under Lactococcus lactis. RNAcentral's name for it is "bacterial SSU rRNA". It matches the Rfam family "Bacterial small subunit ribosomal RNA", at positions 28 to 423 of the family's 1533-position model. Lineage: Bacteria; Bacillati; Bacillota; Bacilli; Lactobacillales; Streptococcaceae. The record is from RNAcentral.
GACGAACGCUGGCGGCGUGCCUAAUACAUGCAAGUUGAGCGCUGAAGGUUGGUACUUGUACCAACUGGAUGAGCAGCGAACGGGUGAGUAACGCGUGGGGAAUCUGCCUUUGAGCGGGGGACAACAUUUGGAAACGAAUGCUAAUACCGCAUAGAAACUUUAAACACAAGUUUUAAGUUUGAAAGAUGCAAUUGCAUCACUCAAAGAUGAUCCCGCGUUGUAUUAGCUAGUUGGUGAGGUAAAGGCUCACCAAGGCGAUGAUACAUAGCCGACCUGAGAGGGUGAUCGGCCACAUUGGGACUGAGACACGGCCCAAAACUCCUACGGGAGGGCAGCAGUAGGGAAUCUUUCGGGCAAUGGGACGAAAAGUCUGACCCGAGCAAACGCCGCGUGAAGUGAAGAAAGGUUUUUCGGAU